AAUCCGGUUGAUCCUGCCGGACCUGACUGCUAUCGGAUUGAUACUAAGCCAUGCGAGUCGUUGUAGUAAUACAAGGCAGACGGCUCAGUAACGCGUAGUCAAUCUACCCUAUGGACGGAAAUAACCUCGGGAAACUGAGAAUAAUGUCCGAUAGAACAUUAUGCCUGGAAUGGUUUAUGUUUCAAAUGAUUUAUCGCCGUAGGAUGGGACUGCGUCCUAUCAGUUUGUUGGUGAGGUAAUGGCCCACCAAGACUAUUACAGGUACGGGCUCUGAGAGGAGUAGCCCGGAGAUGGGUACUGAGACACGGACCCAGGCCCUAUGGGGCGCAGCAGGCGAGAAAACUUUGCAAUGUGCGAAAGCACGACAAGGUUAAUCCGAGUGGUUUCUGCUAAAGAAACCUUUUGUCAGUCCUAGAAACACUGGCGAAUAAGGGGUGGGCAAGUUCUGGUGUCAGCCGCCGCGGUAAAACCAGCACCUCAAGUGGUCAGGAUGAUUAUUGGGCCUAAAGCAUCCGUAGCUUGCUUUGUAAGUUCUCGGUUAAAUCCAUGCGCUUAACGUAUGGGCUGCCGGCAAUACUGCAAAGCUAGGGAGUGGGAGAGGUAGACGGUACUCGGUAGGAAGGGGUAAAAUCCUUUGAUCUAUUGAUGACCACCUGUGGCGAAGGCGGUCUACCAGAACACGUCCGACGGUGAGGGAUGAAAGCUGGGGGAGCAAACCGGAUUAGAUACCCGGGUAGUCCCAGCUGUAAACUAUGCAAACUCAGUGAUGCAUUGGCUUGUGGCCAAUGCAGUGCUGCAGGGAAGUCGUUAAGUUUGCCGCCUGGGAAGUACGUACGCAAGUAUGAAACUUAAAGGAAUUGGCGGGGGAGCACCACAAGGGGUGAAGCUGCGGUUCAAUUGGAGUCAACGCCAGAAAUCUUACCCGGAGAGACAGCAGAAUGAAGGUCAAGCUGAAGACUUUACCAGACAAGCUGAGAGGUGGUGCAUGGCCGUCGCCAGCUCGUGCCGUGAGAUGUCCUGUUAAGUCAGGUAACGAGCGAGACC
This 1044-nucleotide ribosomal RNA is filed under the name uncultured archaeon. RNAcentral's name for it is "bacterial SSU rRNA". It matches the Rfam family "Archaeal small subunit ribosomal RNA", at positions 1 to 1052 of the family's 1478-position model. The record is from RNAcentral.